Small nucleolar RNA from Mus pahari (shrew mouse), 105 nucleotides. RefSeq annotates it as small nucleolar RNA U13. NCBI's taxonomy places the organism in Eukaryota, Metazoa, Chordata, Mammalia, Rodentia, Muridae. The transcript has a single exon. The record is from RefSeq and is a predicted model, not a curated record.
AUCCUUUCUGGUUCAUAAAGCACGAUGAUUGGAUGUUCAUGCUAUUGCAUGAUAAGUGCCACCCACUAAACCUUGUUACAAUGUGUGCACAUUACCUGUCUGACA